UCCUUCUCUCCACCCCCCGGGGUGCGGCAUUGGAGCCCAAGCUGGUCUCGACCAACUGGCUCUCAAAAAUAAUGACGGCGUCCGUGGGACCCUCGAUACACUGAGUUCUUCCGGGAGCACGUAUCGAGUUGCAAGGUCCCUCCGGGCCGGUCUGAACCCAAUCUUUUUUCUCA
RNAcentral lists this unclassified non-coding RNA (173 nucleotides) under uncultured Chaetothyriales. RNAcentral's name for it is "sequence contains ITS2". The record is from RNAcentral. Lineage: Eukaryota; Fungi; Ascomycota; Eurotiomycetes; Chaetothyriales.